Long non-coding RNA from Mus musculus (house mouse), 2689 nucleotides. RefSeq annotates it as predicted gene, 54125. The transcript has 2 exons. The record is from RefSeq and is a predicted model, not a curated record. NCBI's taxonomy places the organism in Eukaryota, Metazoa, Chordata, Mammalia, Rodentia, Muridae.
UUCAUUUAUUGGCUUUGCCAUGAACACAUAAUACUGCCUUUGUUAGUCUCCUGGCCCAGCCUCUUGAGCCCGUGCUCAGCCUCCCAGUUCUGCUCUCCUUAAAAAAACAUAACUGAGGAGUCUCUGAAAAAUAACUAAGAUCAACUGAGGCAAAUUCCCACGAUGUGGAGACAUGAAGCUCUAACUGCUGGGAGACGAGGACAGCACAGGUCCAGGAGCACGCCCAUGCGCACCUGUCUUUUCUCCCGCCAUCUCUGGUAGUUCAGAGAGCUAUACCUGGAACGCCAAAUGACACAGAAAGAAUUGCAAAUUACCACCUUUAAAUCUGUGCCCACCCCCACCCCAAAGCUGAGAAGAAACUCUGCAGCCACAUAGUUGGGCUGGGCCUGCUUCUGUGUCUACUGAAGCACUGGGAAGACUUGUUCGUUGGGGGAGACCCAGGCCAGACUCUAUGUGUUCCACUGCUGCAGGCUGUAUGCUAACAGACUGAAGCCCCUAUACCUGCAACACACUCACAAAUUCCAAAUUCCAACUGUCCUUCCUAUAGAAAAGGUAUCUGUUAUACCAUCAAGCUAGAGGGGAGGGGUUGUGUCAAAUACAAUGAAGAUCAAGAACAGUAAUUACCACUCUAAGUUUCUAUUUUGAAAACACUAUCUCUCACUUAAAGUUUUCACCACAGCUCAGGCAUUUCUCAUUAUGAAGGUAAUGUAGGAGCUUGUACUAAGGAAAUUACUAAUAUCUUGCUAUUUAAAGUAUGGUUGCCACCUUCCACACCCCUAUUAACACAGGCAUAACCUGGAAACUUGUUAGAAAACUAGACACUCUAAACUGGAUGUGAUGUGGAUGUCUGUAACUCCACAACUUGGGAUGUGGAAACAAAAGGCCCAGAAAUCCAAGGGCAUCCUUGGCUAUACAGUGAGUUCAAGGUCAGUCUGGGUUAUAAGAGAUCCUGUGAAAGAACAAGGCAAUGGAGAGGAAAGGCUCCCGACUGAGGAUAUGGCUCAGUUGGUGUGUAGCACGCUGGGUUCAUUCCCAGCACAACAGAAAGCAAGGUGGGAUGGUGCACACCCACAACCUCUGCGUUUGGGAGGUGGAGGUAAGAGGAUCCAAAGUUUAAGGCCAUCCUGAGUUACAUAGUGAGUUCAAGGCCAGCCAGAAACACUCUGAAAAAGAGAGAUAGAGGGAAAGAGAGACAGAGAGGAAGGAAGGGAGGGAUGGAGGGAGAGAAGGAAGGAGGGAGGGGAAGGGGAGGGGGAGAGAGGGAAGGAGUGGGGGGGAGAGUAGAUUCUAUGGGUCUGGUCAGAAACUUAACAAAUCACAUUGGUUCUUUAUCAAGACCCCAGAUAAACUGUAGGUACACUAAGAGGGGCACUGUACCACCAUAUAGGAUGGCACACUCUCUAGAAUAAUCCAAGUGGACAAGAUAGAGAAGAAAAAUUAAAGACUCCUAUAGAACAGUAUCAGAAAGGAAAGAGUUAAGUAGCAUUUAUCUAAUGAGUUAUCUUAAAAUAGAAUAUAUUAACAUAGUGAUGUACAUCUCUAAUCCCAGUACUUGGGAGGCAAAUGAAGGUGGAUCUUUGUGAAUACAAGGCCAGCCUAGUCUACAUAGUAAGUUCUAGGCCAGCCUGGUCUACCUAAUGAGGCCUUGUCUCAAACAAACUCACUGAUUAUACCAAAGGUGGAGGUCUAAUUUAUGCACUCAUUCAACUCAACUCAUCCUAUUUAUCCCUCUGAUGUUACCACCUAAGCAAAAAAUAGAGCAAGACAGCUUCCUGCAUUCAUAAAGCUUACAAUGGGGUCGGAGGGAGAUUAGACACAAAGCACCACGGAGAAGGCUCACAGUGUCAACUGCUGUUAAAUGUGGCAGAGAAAAUCUGUGGGAGAGGGUGUAAUUAAAAAAUUCCUGUGGUCCAGAAGUCAGCAAUUUCUGGAUUAUUAGGCUAUUUGGGAUAGGACAGCUGUGGCUCACAUGGUCCUGGUGGUCUCACUACCGGCAGAGUUCAGUCAACAGAGAUAAGCAAAACAGGUUCAUCUAAUGGAAGAGCCUGUAACGCAACGCCUGGCAGCCGGCGCAGGCUCUGGCUGGCCAGAGGGUGUUACUGGUCAUCAUUAGCAGGGUGGUUUGAAAUGCCAACACUGCUCUGAAUCCAGUGUGUGCUGCCACAGUGAGCAGUAAACAUUCGAGGACGUAAGAGACCCAGCUGUCUGAGUCACUUAGUCUGCUGACCUCCCUCUGGACAGCAAAGAAAGCCGGGCAGGACGGAGGAGAAAUGACACGAGAACCAAGGCGGAUAUAAUGAGAGCUCAGCAGGGACCAGAGACACGGCUCAGUGGUUCUCGAAGAGGAUCUGGGUUCACUUCCAGCACCCACAUGUUGGCUCCUAACUAUCUGGGAAAGGGAACAGAGGGACCCAACACCCUCUCUCUUCUGACCAACCUGAGCUCCUGCAUACGUGUAGAACACAUACAUACACUCAGGAACACACACACUUUAAUACAUAGAGAUCUCAAUCGUGAUUUCAAGGCAGAUGUGAUGACCGCAGGUACAACUGGUCUUUCAUUUUCUCAGAAUCAAUGGAAAGGCCACUGCCACGCUAUUCCUAUAGAGCGUCAUGCUAAUGUCCAUAAAGAUACUUAAAGGCAAACCCAGGCAGGCUUCCUACACCUCCUACACUACAAUUCCUUCAAA